GGUGGGAGGCUUUGAAGCGUGGACGCCAGUCUGCAUGGAGCCGACCUUGAAAUACCACCCUUUAAUGUUUGAUGUUCUAACGUUGGCCCCUUACCGGGGUUGCGGACAGUGUCUGGUGGGUAGUUUGACUGGGGCGGUCUCCUCCUAAAGCGUAACGGAGGAGCACGAAGGUUGGCUAAUCCUGGUCGGACAUCAGGAGGUUAGUGCAAUGGCAUAAGCCAGCUUGACUGCGAGCGUGACGGCGCGAGCAGGUGCGAAAGCAGGUCAUAGUGAUCCGGUGGUUCUGAAUGGAAGGGCCAUCGCUCAACGGAUAAAAGGUACUCCGGGGAUAACAGGCUGAUACCGCCCAAGAGUUCAUAUCGACGGCGGUGUUUGGCACCUCGAUGUCGGCUCAUCACAUCCUGGGGCUGAAGUAGGUCCCAAGGGUAUGGCUGUUCGCCAUUUAAAGUGGUACGCGAGCUGGGUUUAGAACGUCGUGAGACAGUUCGGUCCCUAUCUGCCGUGGGCGCUGGAGAACUGAGGGGGGCUGCUCCUAGUACGAGAGGACCGGAGUGGACGCAUCACUGGUGUUCGGGUUGUCAUGCCAAUGGCACUGCCCGGUAGCUAAAUGCGGAA
This 615-nucleotide ribosomal RNA is filed under the name Escherichia coli. RNAcentral's name for it is "partial 23S ribosomal RNA". It matches the Rfam family "Bacterial large subunit ribosomal RNA", at positions 2146 to 2760 of the family's 2925-position model. The record is from RNAcentral. Lineage: Bacteria; Pseudomonadati; Pseudomonadota; Gammaproteobacteria; Enterobacterales; Enterobacteriaceae.